UGGCGGCUGUGGUGACAGGUGUUGGUGGUGAUGGCGGCGGUGAUGGUGGUGGUGACGGCGGUGGUGAUGACGGCAGUGGUGACAGUGAUGGUGAUGAUGACCGUUGUGGUGGUGGUGGUGGUGGUGGUGUAUAAUGGGUUGAGUUGACAGCCCCUGACCUGUCAAGCCACCAAACUGUCACUUAACUGUCAUUCUCUUCCUGUCAAAAUGUCGGGCACCUGUCAAAUGUCAGGUGUUAGGUCAGGUCACGUUGGUCAGGUCACAGUCCACCUGGGUUUCUGUGGUGUGGAAUGACGCUAGUAAACUCCACCUUCAUUGACUAGCAAUAGUGAUAGGUUAGAUUAUUUCUAUUUCUAUACUAUUUCUAAUUCUAUUUCUAUUCUAUUGUAUUUUAUUUCUAUUGUUAGUAUUUUUGUUACCAUUAGGGUAUUAUUGAAGAAAGGGUAGCCUAAGAAUUUUGACAUUAAUUUUGUCCUAAACUAUUUGGGUGUUAUUCCGGAAAUCAGAUUUGGUUAGGUUAGAUUAAUUGUUUGCAUAUUAGGUUAAAUUGGGUUAGGUUGCCUUGGUAAAGAUGUGGCAGGCUUUGUAAUUCUCUGUUGGUGGUUGUCGCUGAGAGUUCGUGGGUGUAUUUCUUGAGUUUUACCUGUAAUUAGAAGGGGGCUUCGUGGUGCAGUGGUUAGCACACUUGGCUCACAAUCGAGAGAGCUCGGGUUCAAUUCCCAGGCGGAGUGGGAAAAUUUGGGCGGCUUUUCCGAUAACCUACACCCCUGUCCACCCAGCAGUGUACCAGGUGGACAGCAAACAUUGUGGAAGCAGUCCUCUGAGUCAUGGGGAGGACAACACCACAACAAACUGGAUGAUGCAAGUGAAGGCCACGAGAGAGAAGGGGGAGAGAGGACCAGGGAGUGAUCCAAUGUCUUGCUGCCCCACUCACUGAGACAAGCCGCUGGACCCACCCAUCGCCAAGUGUGCCAGGAGGUAAGAAGAAGCAUGGGAGUGACUCUACACCAUGGAACUUUGACAGACCUCCUCCCCCUGCCUUCAAGUCUGGCCAAAGUGUGCGGUGUCCCACAGGCAGGCAGACCGAGACGCCAGCCAUUCAAUUCUGCCGAGGGAAGAAGUUGUGUUAGUCAACUCUGAUGACUUGUACUUUUCUCUGCAAGGGACUGUUCUGUAAGCCAGUCACAGAAGAUGUGAACUGUAUCUGUACUAUGAAGUCU
Long non-coding RNA from Eriocheir sinensis (Chinese mitten crab), 1220 nucleotides. RefSeq lists it as uncharacterized. The record is from RefSeq and is a predicted model, not a curated record. The transcript is spliced from 5 exons. NCBI's taxonomy places the organism in Eukaryota, Metazoa, Arthropoda, Malacostraca, Decapoda, Varunidae.